UACGGAGGGUGCAAGCGUUACUCGGAAUUACUGGGCGUAAAGGGCGCGUAGGCGGUUCGGUAAGUCAGAUGUGAAAGCCCGGGGCUUAACUCCGGAAGUGCAUUUGAAACUGCUGAACUUGAGUAUGGGAGAGGGAAGUGGAAUUCCUGGUGUAGAGGUGAAAUUCGUAGAUAUCAGGAGGAACACCGGUGGCGAAGGCGACUUCCUGGACCAAUACUGACGCUGAGGCGCGAAGGCGUGGGUAGCAAACAGG
Molecule: ribosomal RNA, 253 nt
Filed under: uncultured bacterium
Lineage: Bacteria
Description: partial 16S ribosomal RNA
Rfam family: Bacterial small subunit ribosomal RNA
Source: RNAcentral